Molecule: ribosomal RNA, 445 nt
Filed under: uncultured bacterium
Lineage: Bacteria
Description: partial 16S ribosomal RNA
Rfam family: Bacterial small subunit ribosomal RNA
Source: RNAcentral
GUGAGGAAUAUUGCGCAAUGGAGGCAACUCUGACGCAGCCAUGCCGCGUGCAGGAAGAAGGCGCUACGCGUUGUAAACUGCUUUUAACCGGGAAGAAACCCCAGGACGUGUCCUGGGUUGACGGUACCGGAGGAAUAAGCACCGGCUAACUUCGUGCCAGCAGCCGCGGUACUACGAAGGGUGCAAGCGUUAUCCGGAUUCCUUGGGUUUAAAGGGUGCGUAGGCGGAGCGUUAAGUCAGUGGUGAAAUCCUGCAGCUUAACUGUAGACUUGCCAUUGAUACUGGCGCUCUUGAGUGCGCUUGAAGUGGGCGGAAUGUGCCGUGUAGCGGUGAAAUGCUUAGAUAUGGCACAGAACACCAAUUGCGAAGGCAGCUCACUAAGGCGAUACUGACGCUGAGGCACGAAAGCGUGGGGAUCGAACAGGAUUAGAAACCCCAGUAGUCC